AACGUCUCAGUUCGGACUGUGGUCUGNAACCCGACCACACGAAGCUGGAAUCGCUGGUAAUCGCGAAUCAGAAUGUCGCGGUGAAUACGUUCCCGGGUCUUGUACACACCGCCCGUCACACCAUGGGAGUCAGCAACGCCCGAAGUCAGUGACCUAACCGAAAGGGAGGAGCUGCCGAAGGCGGGGCCGGUAACUGGGGUGAAGUCGUAACAAGGUAAC
RNAcentral lists this ribosomal RNA (219 nucleotides) under uncultured bacterium. Its description in RNAcentral is "partial 16S ribosomal RNA". It matches the Rfam family "Bacterial small subunit ribosomal RNA", at positions 1282 to 1500 of the family's 1533-position model. The record is from RNAcentral.